GACGAACGCUGGCGGCGUGCUUAACACAUGCAAGUCGAACGGAAAGGCCCUGCUUUUGUGGGGUGCUCGAGUGGCGAACGGGUGAGUAACACGUGAGUAACCUGCCCUUGACUUUGGGAUAACUUCAGGAAACUGGGGCUAAUACCGGAUAGGAGCUCCUGCUGCAUGGUGGGGGUUGGAAAGUUUCGGCGGUUGGGGAUGGACUCGCGGCUUAUCAGCUUGUUGGUGGGGUAGUGGCUUACCAAGGCUUUGACGGGUAGCCGGCCUGAGAGGGUGACCGGCCACAUUGGGACUGAGAUACGGCCCAGACUCCUACGGGAGGCAGCAGUGGGGAAUAUUGCACAAUGGGCGGAAGCCUGAUGCAGAAACGCCGCGUGCGGGAUGACGGCCUUCGGGUUGUAAACAGCUUUCGCCUGUGACGAAGAGUGAGUGACGGUAAUGGGUAAAGAAGCACCGGCUAACUACGUG
This 468-nucleotide ribosomal RNA is filed under the name uncultured bacterium. RNAcentral describes it as "partial 16S ribosomal RNA". It matches the Rfam family "Bacterial small subunit ribosomal RNA", at positions 28 to 507 of the family's 1533-position model. The record is from RNAcentral.